GACGAACGCUGGCGGCGUGCUUAACACAUGCAAGUCGAACGAUGAUGCUCUAGCUUGCUGGGGUGGACUAGUGGCGAACGGGUGAGUAACACGUGAGUAACCUGCCCUCUUCUUUGGGAUAAGUUCGGGAAACUGGGGCUAAUACUGGAUAUUAUGCACUUCUCCCAUGGUGGUUGUGGGAAAGUUCUUCUGGUGGGGGAUGGGGUCGGGGCCUACCAGCUUGUUGGUGGGGUGAUGGCUUACCAAGGUGUCGACGGGUAGCCGGCCUGAGAGGGUGACCGAGAACACGGGGGCUGAGAUACGGCCUAGACUACGACGCGGAGCAGUAGUGGAGAAUAUUGUGCAGUGGGCUCAAGCAUGGUGCAGCGACUGCGGGUGCGAGGUGGCGUGUGUCGUGUUGUAAACCUCGUUCGAUGGGGAACAAGGCUAUAUUGUUGUGUGAUUGAGGGUACCUGGAAAAGAAGCACCGGCUAACUACGUG
This 481-nucleotide ribosomal RNA is filed under the name uncultured bacterium. RNAcentral's name for it is "partial 16S ribosomal RNA". It matches the Rfam family "Bacterial small subunit ribosomal RNA", at positions 28 to 507 of the family's 1533-position model. The record is from RNAcentral.